Molecule: ribosomal RNA, 441 nt
Filed under: uncultured bacterium
Lineage: Bacteria
Description: partial 16S ribosomal RNA
Rfam family: Bacterial small subunit ribosomal RNA
Source: RNAcentral
CCUACGGGUGGCAGCAGUGGGGAAUAUUGCGCAAUGGGGGCAACCCUGACGCAGCAACGCCGCGUGAUUGAAGAAGGCCUUCGGGUUGUAAAGAUCUUUAAUCAGGGACGAAAAAUGACGGUACCUGAAGAAUAAGCUCCGGCUAACUACGUGCCAGCAGCCGCGGUAAUACGUAGGGAGCAAGCGUUAUCCGGAUUUACUGGGUGUAAAGGGAGCGUAGACGGCGCGGCAAGUCUGAAGUGAAAGGCAGGGGCUUAACCCCUGAACUGCUUUGGAAACUGCCAUGCUAGAGUGCUGGAGAGGUAAGUGGAAUUCCUAGUGUAGCGGUGAAAUGCGUAGAUAUUAGGAGGAACACCAGUGGCGAAGGCGGCUUACUGGACAGUAACUGACGUUGAGGCUCGAAAGCGUGGGGAGCAAACAGGAUUAGAUACCCGUGUAGUC